UUAGCUGUGAUGAGAUGCUAACAAGUAAGAAGAUGCAACUUUGUGUUGUAACUUCGAUGAAAUCCAUUUGUUACGCUUGGCUUCUGAGCAUA
Molecule: small nucleolar RNA, 92 nt
Organism: Salvia splendens (bonfire salvia)
Lineage: Eukaryota; Viridiplantae; Streptophyta; Magnoliopsida; Lamiales; Lamiaceae
Product: small nucleolar RNA R24
Exons: 1
Source: RefSeq, a predicted model, not a curated record